Molecule: ribosomal RNA, 134 nt
Filed under: uncultured bacterium
Lineage: Bacteria
Description: partial 16S ribosomal RNA
Source: RNAcentral
ACACAGUUAUUAACCGUGUCCGUUUCUUCCCAUCUGAAAGAGCUUACAACCCGAAGGCCUUCUUCACUCACGCGGCAUGGCUGGAUCAGGCUUUCGCCCAUUGUCCAAAAUUCCCCACUGCUGCCUCCCGUAGG